CUCUUAUUCAGAGCGGUGGAGGUACAAAGGACCUGUGAAACCGCGGCAACCCCUGCACAGGAAGGUGCCAACCUGAGCGAGUAAUCGAACAAUAAGAG
This is a regulatory RNA element of Clostridium sp. C105KSO13, 98 nucleotides long. It matches the Rfam family "SAM riboswitch aptamer (S box leader)". Rfam says of the family: The SAM riboswitch is found upstream of a number of genes which code for proteins involved in methionine or cysteine biosynthesis in Gram-positive bacteria. The SAM riboswitch acts at the level of transcription termination control. Lineage: Bacteria; Bacillati; Bacillota; Clostridia; Eubacteriales; Clostridiaceae. The record is from Rfam.